AUGAAGCUGUGUGUGGGGGUGGGGGGUAGGGUCUGUGUAUGUGAGCGAAGGAGGGUUUGUGUGUGUUUGUGUCUCACAACAAACCACCCCAGCAACAAGGAUCUAGGGCUCUUCCAUCCCCAAGCUCGUGUCCCGGUGGUGUGGCGGUGUGUUGCGUCCCUGAGCCGGGCCUCGGCCUGGGAGUUUUCCCUGCCCGGGUCCAAAAUGGAAAAUGGCGGUGUUCUCCCGUGGAGGAGUAGGGCCGGUGCCCACUGCCCACAGCCCACCUUCCCGCCCUCCCACUGCCCUCCAGUUGACCGGUUGGAACCCAAGUGCCAGUCAGAUUCGGGCAUCCGCCUCAGCUCCUACCCACCCGGUCAAGGCCUUCGACCUCCCGACCUCCCAGCCUCCCGGCCUUCCACCCCCCUCGAGGCUUCCUGGCCUCGCUCCUCCCGGCCGGAGAAAGGAUGGAGCAACAGCUUCGUGCUCGAAGAGACAAAGCAGUCGCCCCGACUUGUCGUUCCCCAGCGUUGUCCCCAGCUGAAUUUUCAUUUUUCACCUGAAUCUGCCCCUGACCUCCCGUCAUCCCCCCUUCCUCUGGGAAGAAUUCUCAUUUAGGGGAGGACCGUCUGCCACCCUCUCCCGUUUUAUACUUCUUCCUCCUUCCUGACUUGCACUAGUUCCGCGACGGAAAUACAGAGACACUGGGAGUCCCUUUGGUUGACGGAUUAUGCCAGAAAAGAGAUAAUUCCAAGGAAAUAUCUCCAACGGGCUCCCGCGCCAAAAAGCACAAGCAAAGACGGACUCAGCACAAAGAACUCCAUCCUCUCCCUUCCCGGUCGGCUUGGCUGGGCCUCCGAGCCUCAGAUCUUCCCAGCGGGAAGUCGGAACUCCGCUUUUCUGCCGGGGAUUUGGCAGGACACGCUGUCUUCCUCAACCAGGGUGUCGCUGUCAUUCCUCCGAAAUCAAACGAGUCUGACCGCUCUGAAACCGUCAGCCGAUUCCUUUGGGGUUUACGCGGUUGGAGAUCCAGGGUGGGAUGAAAAACAGGAGAACAAAAGGCAAGCCCGUUCUCUCUUCGCGUGAGUUCGGGAAUCGUCUCUUCUUCCACAGCCAGGGCGGUGAGAAACCCGAGGAGCACGAUAAUGAAUGAUUGGAGUCUAACUGGGUGCCGGUCACUGUACUAAGCGCCGGGGUGGAUACGAGAGAGGUGGAUACAGGUGGAUACACAGAGAAGCAGCACGGCGUAGCGGGUAGAGCCGGGCCUGGGAGUCGGAAGGAGCGGGGUUCUCAUCCCCGCUCUGCCAUUUGUCCGCUGUGUGACCUCGGGCAAGUCGUUUCACCUCUCUGGGCCUCGGUUAUCUCAUCUGGAAAAUGGGGAUGAAGACUGUGACCCCCCCACGUGGGACAUGGACCUGAUUACUCUGUAUCUACCCCAGCGUUUAGUACAGUGCCCGGCUCACAGUAAGAACUUAAUACCACAGUUAUUAUUAGGCGGGGCAGGGACGCUGUCCAAGCUGAUUGGCUUGGAUCUACCCCAGUGCUUAGCACAGUGCCUGGCGCAGAGUAAGCGAGCGAAUACCAUAAAAAAAGAAAGAAAACAAUGGGGUUCUCUCCUCUGUCGAUCGUGUGCCCCCCCUCGGAAUCAGAACUUGCCAGGGCGAAUCCCUGGCCAAGGCGAGCUGGGGGACUGGGAUGUAGAGGUCACAAAGCCGACGUGUGGGGAGCCGGGAUUAGAACCCAGCUCCUCCCGGCACCCGGCCAGGAACCAGUGCCGAAGCAAUGCCCAGCCUCCGGAAGCGGAGGGAGAUUUUGUUGAGGGCCAAGUCGGAUUAAAUCUGGCAGACUCCAGUGUCUGUUGGCGGCCAAACUACGGUUCGAAGGCCCCUGGCGACUGAGUAGACGUCUACUUCCGGGUGUCUCCAGAAGCAGCGUGGCUCAGUGGCGAGAGCCCGGCCUUGGGAGUCAGGAGGACCUGGGUUCUAAUCCCGGCUCUGGACAUGUCGGCUGGGUGGCCUCGGCAAGUCACUUGACUUCUCUGGGCCUCAGUUCCCUCAUCUGUAAAAUGGGGAUUAAAACCGGGAGCCCCACGUGGGACAACCCGAUUACCUUGUAUCUACCCCAGCCUUUAGAACAGCGUUUGGCACAUCAUAAGCGCCUAACGAGUAGCAUUUUUUUAAAUUUCUCGAGCUCCUCCUUUGUACAAGAGACGGACCCAAGCGCUUGGGAGAGGCCAGUGAAAUGGCUUGACGCGCUCUAGAAGCUUCCCCUGAAUGGUACCAGGAGUUAGCAGAAUGUGUCCGCCAGCUCCGUUAUAGUGGACUCUCCCCAGCUUUUAGUACAGUGCUCUGCACAAGGUAAGCGCUCAGUAAAUACCAUCGAUCCCUCUGGACUGUAAAUUCAUUACGAGAGGGGAUGUUUCUGCUCGUUCUGUUGGAUUGCACUCUCCCAAGUGCUUAGAACAGUGCUCUGCACACAGUAAGCGCUCCAGUGGUUGACGGAUUGGACGGAUCGAGUCUUCUUGGAGAAGAGAGAUGGACAGAAGGACGGACUUGACCACCACCACAUCCAGUGUGAAGCAGCGUGGCCUAGUGGGUAGAGCCCGGUCCCGGGAGCCAGAAGGAUCUGGGUUCUAAUCCCUGCUCAGCCGCUUUUCAGCUGCGUGACCUAGGACAAGUCGCUUCACCUCUCCGUGUCUCCGUUCCCUCGUCGGGAAAAUGGGGAUUAAGGCUGUGAGCCCCACGGGGGACCCGGACUGUGUCCAACCUGGUUACUUUGUACGUUCCCCGGCGUCCAGAACGGUACGUGGAGCAUGGUAAGUGCUUAACAAAUGCCAUAAAACAAAAGAAAACGGAAGGAAAAGAGUCCGCGAUCGGCCGGAGAUCCCAGCGGAGUCGCGAGACCCUUCGGGAAUCUUAGUGCUGGGAGAAUAGUAAGCGCUUAACAAAUACCAUCAUCAUUAUCCGCGGGAGCGAGAACGAGCCCGGAAACCGCUCCCAUUUUCGAGUCGGGCCAGUCGAGGAUCUUAGGCCAACGAGAACGCCUCCCCUUCCUCAGCUUCGCGGAGAAUCCUCUCCCGUUUUUUACGCGCCUCGGAGCUUCCUGAUGUCCGCGUCGUAGGCUGCCGUUUCUCUGGAAUCGGUAGCUCGAACUUUGGCGGGACGCUGAAACAUCGGGUUCACCCCUUUGCUCGGUUGUGAAGCACAUGACGGAGGUUCUUUUUGAAAUAAAGCACUUUUUAGAGAGACGGAGUCUCGUGGUUCGGCCGCCCUUGAUUCAUUCAGUCGUAUUUAUUGAGCGCUUACUCUGAGCAGAGCGCCGUACUAAGCGCCUGGAACGGACAGAGACGAUCCCUACCCAACGACGGACCUUGGAUCUGUCCGGGCCUUGGAGAGCAGGGGUGACAAAACUGGAACUCUAGCCCCGAAACUCGUCGGGGGCGGGGGAUGCAUCUGUUUCUUGUCGUAUUGUCCUCCCCCAAGCGCUUAGUACAGCGCUCUGCAGGCGGUAAGUGUUCAAUAAAUCCGACUGACUGGCGGGAAAUGGAUCGGGUUGGAUCCUGGUGGGAAGGGGACAGUCAAGAGAUUGUCUGUGGGUUGUGAUGGGGACUCAACGACCCCCCCAGUGAAAAGAGCCCGGGCUUGGCAGUCAGAGGUCAUGGGUUCGAAUUCCGGCUCUGCCCUUUGUCAGCUGGGUGACUGUGGGCAAAUCACUUCACUUCUUUGGGCCUCAGUUACCUCAUCUGUAAAAUGGGGAUUAACAGUGUGAGCCUGAUGACCUGUGUCACAUCACAACCUGAUGACCCUGUGUCUACCCCAGCGCUUAGAACAGUGCUCUGCACAUAGUAAGCGCUUAACAAAUACCAACAUUAUUAUUAUUAUUAAAACGCCGCUUUGUCAGGCAGGUUGUAUUUAUUGAGCGCUUACUGUUGGACUUAGUCGAUUGUGAGCCUGUUGUUGGGUAGGGAUUGUCUCUCUUUGUUGCCGAAUUGUACUUUCCGAGCGUUUAAUACAGUGCUCUGCAG
RNAcentral lists this long non-coding RNA (4003 nucleotides) under Ornithorhynchus anatinus (platypus). RNAcentral's name for it is "lncRNA (ENSOANG00000042495.1)". Lineage: Eukaryota; Metazoa; Chordata; Mammalia; Monotremata; Ornithorhynchidae. The record is from RNAcentral.